RNAcentral lists this ribosomal RNA (253 nucleotides) under uncultured bacterium. RNAcentral describes it as "partial 16S ribosomal RNA". It matches the Rfam family "Archaeal small subunit ribosomal RNA", at positions 474 to 727 of the family's 1478-position model. The record is from RNAcentral.
UACCAGCACCCCGAGUGGUCAGGACGAUUAUUGGGCCUAAGGCAUCCGUAGCCGGUCAUGCAAGUCCUCCGUUAAAUCCACCUGCUUAACAGAUGGGCUGCGGAGGAUACUACAAGGCUAGGAGGCGGAAGAGGCAAGCGGUACUCAGUGGGUAGGGGUAAAAUCCUCUGAUCCAUUGAAGACCACCAGUGGCGAAGGCGGCUUGCCAAUACGCGCUCGACGGUGAGGGAUGAAAGCUGGGGGAGCAAACCGG